UUCCGGUUGAUCCUGCCGGAGGUCAUUGCUAUCGGGGUCCGAUUUAGCCAUGCUAGUUGUACGAGUUCACACUCGUAGCAAAUAGCUCCGUAACACGUGGCCAAACUGCCCUACGGACUUGAAUAACCUCGGGAAACUGAGGCUAAUUCCUGAUACGGUUCCCAUGCUGGAAUGCCGGGAACCCGAAACGUUCCGACGCCGUAGGAUGUGGCUGCGGCCGAUUAGGUAGACGGUGGGGUAACGGCCCACCGUGCCGAUAAUCGGUACGGGUUGUGAGAGCAAGAACCCGGAGACGGAAUCUGAGACAAGAUUCCGGGCCCUACGGGGCGCAGCAGGCGCGAAACCUUUACACUGUACGCAAGUACGAUAAGGGGAUCCCGAGUGCGAGGGCAUACAGUCCUCGCUUUUCUGUACCGUAAGGAGGUACAAGAAUAAGAGCUGGGCAAGACCGGUGCCAGCCGCCGCGGUAAUACCGGCAGCUCAAGUGAUGGCCGCUAUUAUUGGGCCUAAAGCGUCCGUAGCCGGCCGGAUAAGUCCGUCGGGAAAUCCACCCGCUCAACGGGUGGGCGUCCGGCGGAAACUGUCCGGCUUGGGGCCGGAAGACCUGGGGGGUACGUCUGGGGUAGGAGUGAAAUCCUGUAAUCCUGGACGGACCGCCGGUGGCGAAAGCGCCUCAGGAGGACGGACCCGACGGUGAGGGACGAAAGCUAGGGUCACGAACCGGAUUAGAUACCCGGGUAGUCCUAGCCGUAAACGAUGCUCGCUAGGUGUGGCACAGGCUACGAGCCUGUGCUGUGCCGUAGGGAAGCCGUGAAGCGAGCCGCCUGGGAAGUACGUCCGCAAGGAUGAAACUUAAAGGAAUUGGCGGGGGAGCACUACAACCGGAGGAGCCUGCGGUUUAAUUGGA
RNAcentral lists this ribosomal RNA (907 nucleotides) under uncultured archaeon. RNAcentral describes it as "bacterial SSU rRNA". It matches the Rfam family "Archaeal small subunit ribosomal RNA", at positions 1 to 910 of the family's 1478-position model. The record is from RNAcentral.